GCCCGCCUAGCUCAAUCGGAUAGAGCGUCAGACUCUUACAGUGUCUAUGGGCAAAGGCGAUCUGAAGGCUGCGAGUUCGACCCUCGCGGUGGGCU
This 95-nucleotide transfer RNA is filed under the name Psilocybe cubensis. It matches the Rfam family "tRNA". From Rfam's summary of the family: Transfer RNA (tRNA) molecules are approximately 80 nucleotides in length. Their secondary structure includes four short double-helical elements and three loops (D, anti-codon, and T loops). Further hydrogen bonds mediate the characteristic L-shaped molecular structure. tRNAs have two regions of fundamental functional importance: the anti-codon, which is responsible for specific mRNA codon recognition, and the 3' end, to which the tRNAs corresponding amino acid is attached (by aminoacyl-tRNA synthetases). tRNAs cope with the degeneracy of the genetic code in two manners: having more than one tRNA (with a specific anti-codon) for a particular amino acid; and 'wobble' base-pairing, i.e. permitting non-standard base-pairing at the 3rd anti-codon position. Lineage: Eukaryota; Fungi; Basidiomycota; Agaricomycetes; Agaricales; Agrocybaceae. The record is from Rfam by way of RNAcentral.